GUGGGGAAUCUUGCGCAAUGGGCGAAAGCCUGACGCAGCCAUGCCGCGUGAAUGAUGAAGGUCUUAGGAUUGUAAAAUUCUUUCACCGGGGACGAUAAUGAUGGUACCCGGAGAAGAAGCCCCGGCUAACUUCGUGCCAGCAGCCGCGGUAAUACGAAGGGGGCUAGCGUUGCUCGGAAUUACUGGGCGUAAAGGGCGCGUAGGCGGACAGUUUAGUCAGGGGUGAAAGCCCAGGGCUCAACCUUGGAAUUGCCUUUGAUACUGGCUGUCUUGAGUACGGGAGAGGUGAGUGGAACUCCGAGUGUAGAGGUGAAAUUCGUAGAUAUUCGGAAGAACACCAGUGGCGAAGGCGACUGACUGGACAAGUAUUGACGCUGAGGUGCGAAAGCGUGGGGAGCAAACAGGAUUAGAAACCCCGGUAGUCC
Molecule: ribosomal RNA, 425 nt
Filed under: uncultured bacterium
Lineage: Bacteria
Description: partial 16S ribosomal RNA
Rfam family: Bacterial small subunit ribosomal RNA
Source: RNAcentral